CACACCGCCCGUCACACCAUGGGAGUGGGUUGUACCAGAAGUCGUUAGCUUAACCGCAAGGGGAGCGAUGACCACGGUAUGAUUCAUGACUGGGGUG
RNAcentral lists this ribosomal RNA (97 nucleotides) under uncultured bacterium. RNAcentral describes it as "partial 16S ribosomal RNA". It matches the Rfam family "Bacterial small subunit ribosomal RNA", at positions 1386 to 1482 of the family's 1533-position model. The record is from RNAcentral.